GACGAACGCUGGCGGCGUGCUUAACACAUGCAAGUCGAACGGAAAGGCCCCCUUGUGGGGUACUCGAGUGGCGAAUGGGUGAGUAACACGUGAGUAACCUACCCUUGACUUUGGGAUAACUUCAGGAAACUGGGGCUAAUACCGGAUAGGAGCUCCUGCUGCAUGGUGGGGGUUGGAAAGUUUCGGCGGUUGGGGAUGGGCUCGCGGCUUAUCAGCUUGUUGGUGGGGUAGUGGCUCACCAAGGCUUUGACGGGUAGCCGGCCUGAGAGGGUGACCGGCCACAUUGGGACUGAGAUACGGCCCAGACUCCUACGGGAGGCAGCAGUGGGGAAUAUUGCACAAUGGGCGGAAGCCUGAUGCAGCAACGCCGCGUGCGGGAUGACGGCCUUCGGGUUGUAAACCGCUUUCGCCUGUGACGAAGCGUGAGUGACGGUAAUGGGUAAAGAAGCACCGGCUAACUACGUG
Molecule: ribosomal RNA, 465 nt
Filed under: uncultured bacterium
Lineage: Bacteria
Description: partial 16S ribosomal RNA
Rfam family: Bacterial small subunit ribosomal RNA
Source: RNAcentral